GUCAGGUGUGGUGGUGCACACUUGUAAUCCCAACAGCUUGGGAGGCUGAUGCAGGAGGAUCGCGAGUUCAAAGUCAGCCUCAGCAACUUAUUGAGGUCCUAAGCAACUCAGUGAGACCCUGUCUCUA
RNAcentral lists this small RNA (127 nucleotides) under Marmota monax (woodchuck). Lineage: Eukaryota; Metazoa; Chordata; Mammalia; Rodentia; Sciuridae. The record is from RNAcentral.